AGUCGAGGGGUACAUUGGUGCUUGCACCAGAUGACGACCGGCGCACGGGUGCGUAACGCGUAUAGAACCUACCUUUUACAGGGGAAUAGCCUUUAGAAAUGAAGAUUAAUGCCCCAUAGUAUUACGACUUGGCAUCAAGUUGUAUUUAAAGAUUUAUCGGUAAAAGAUGGCUAUGCGUCCUAUUAGUUAGUUGGUAAGGUAACGGCUUACCAAGACAUCGAUAGGUAGGGGUCCUGAGAGGGAGAUCCCCCACACUGGUACUGAGACACGGACCAGACUCCUACGGGAGGCAGCAGUGAGGAAUAUUGGACAAUGGAGGCAACUCUGAUCCAGCCAUGCCGCGUGCAGGAAGACGGCCCUAUGGGUUGUAAACUGCUUUUAUACAGGAAGAAACAUCCCGACGUGUCGGGACUUGACGGUACUGUAAGAAUAAGGACCGGCUAACUCCGUGCCAGCAGCCGCGGUAAUACGGAGGGUCCGAGCGUUAUCCGGAAUCAUUGGGUUUAAAGGGUCCGCAGGCGGUCAAUUAAGUCAGAGGUGAAAUCCCAUAGCUUAACUAUGGAACUGCCUUUGAUACUGGUUGACUUGAGUCAUAUGGAAGUAGAUAGAAUGUGUAGUGUAGCGGUGAAAUGCAUAGAUAUUACACAGAAUACCGAUUGCGAAGGCAGUCUACUACGUAUGUACUGACGCUCAUGGACGAAAGCGUGGGGAGCGAACAGGAUUAGAUACCCUGGUAGUCCACGCCGUAAACGAUGGAUACUAGUUGUUGGGAUUUAUCUCAGUGACUAAGCGAAAGUGAUAAGUAUCCCACCUGGGGAGUACGGUCGCAAGA
This 832-nucleotide ribosomal RNA is filed under the name uncultured Bacteroidota bacterium. RNAcentral describes it as "bacterial SSU rRNA". It matches the Rfam family "Bacterial small subunit ribosomal RNA", at positions 60 to 893 of the family's 1533-position model. The record is from RNAcentral. Lineage: Bacteria; Pseudomonadati; Bacteroidota.